This 85-nucleotide transfer RNA is filed under the name Felis catus (domestic cat). It matches the Rfam family "tRNA". Rfam says of the family: Transfer RNA (tRNA) molecules are approximately 80 nucleotides in length. Their secondary structure includes four short double-helical elements and three loops (D, anti-codon, and T loops). Further hydrogen bonds mediate the characteristic L-shaped molecular structure. tRNAs have two regions of fundamental functional importance: the anti-codon, which is responsible for specific mRNA codon recognition, and the 3' end, to which the tRNAs corresponding amino acid is attached (by aminoacyl-tRNA synthetases). tRNAs cope with the degeneracy of the genetic code in two manners: having more than one tRNA (with a specific anti-codon) for a particular amino acid; and 'wobble' base-pairing, i.e. permitting non-standard base-pairing at the 3rd anti-codon position. The record is from Rfam by way of RNAcentral. Lineage: Eukaryota; Metazoa; Chordata; Mammalia; Carnivora; Felidae.
GCCUGGGUGGCUCAGUCGGUUGAGCGUCCGACUUUGGCUCAGGUCAUGAUCUCGCAGUUUGUGGGUUCAAGCCCCGCAUCUGGCU